UACAGAGGUCUCAAGCGUUGUUCGGAUUCAUUGGGCGUAAAGGGUGUGUAGGUGGCGCCGUAAGUCGGGUGUGAAAUUUCGGAGCUUAACUCCGAAACUGCAUUCGAUACUGCGGUGCUUGAGGACUGGAGAGGAGACUGGAAUUCAUGGUGUAGCAGUGAAAUGCGUAGAGAUCAUGAGGAAGACCAGUGGCGAAGGCGGGUCUCUGGACAGAUACUGACACUCAACUACGAAAGCGUGGGGAGCAAACAGG
Molecule: ribosomal RNA, 253 nt
Filed under: uncultured bacterium
Lineage: Bacteria
Description: partial 16S ribosomal RNA
Rfam family: Bacterial small subunit ribosomal RNA
Source: RNAcentral